CCUUACUGGAACAAUUGUGGACCGGAGAUACUUUGUGCGCGUUUGUGUUGGAGAAACUCUGCCAAUAGCAGUGAUUCACACAGAUAAUAUUAAAGCACUGUGGUGGUUAUGGUACUUAAAAUGGAUGUAAAAAA
Sander lucioperca (pikeperch) is the source of this 134-nucleotide long non-coding RNA. RefSeq lists it as uncharacterized. The record is from RefSeq and is a predicted model, not a curated record. NCBI's taxonomy places the organism in Eukaryota, Metazoa, Chordata, Actinopteri, Perciformes, Percidae. The transcript has 2 exons.